Molecule: non-coding RNA, 18 nt
Filed under: Arabidopsis thaliana (thale cress)
Lineage: Eukaryota; Viridiplantae; Streptophyta; Magnoliopsida; Brassicales; Brassicaceae
Also listed under: 1 other name
Source: RNAcentral
GGACCAGGCUUCAUUCCC